CGUAUCACUUAAAGCGAUUCAGCGGGUUACGAUUGACGGAGCGAAGCGACGUCAAAGCGUAUACAAAGUCGAGUCGGUUUAAGGAUACGUUCGUUGGGUAGGGGAGCGUUCUGUAAGCCUGUGAAGGUGGCCUGUGAGGGUUGCUGGAGGUAUCAGAAGUGCGAAUGCUGACAUAAGUAACGAUAAAGCGGGUGAAAAGCCCGCUCGCCGGAAGACCAAGGGUUCCUGUCCAACGUUAAUCGGGGCAGGGUGAGUCGACCCCUAAGGCGAGGCCGAAAGGCGUAGUCGAUGGGAAACAGGUUAAUAUUCCUGUACUUGGUGUUACUGCGAAGGGGGGACGGAGAAGGCUAUGUUGGCCGGGCGACGGUUGUCCCGGUUUAAGCGUGUAGGCUGGUUUUCCAGGCAAAUCCGGAAAAUCAAGGCUGAGGCGUGAUGACGAGGCACUACGGUGCUGAAGCAACAAAUGCCCUGCUUCCAGGAAAAGCCUCUAAGCAUCAGGUAACAUCAAAUCGUACCCCAAACCGACACAGGUGGUCAGGUAGAGAAUACCAAGGCGCUUGAGAGAACUCGGGUGAAGGAACUAGGCAAAAUGGUGCCGUAACUUCGGGAGAAGGCACGCUGACACGUAGGUGAAGUGAUUUACUCACGGAGCUGAAGUCAGUCGAAGAUACCAGCUGGCUGCAACUGUUUAUUAAAAACACAGCACUGUGCAAACACGAAAGUGGACGUAUACGGUGUGACGCCUGCCCGGUGCCGGAAGGUUAAUUGAUGGGGUCAGCGCAAGCGAAGCUCCUGAUCGAAGCCCCGGUAAACGGCGGCCGUAACUAUAACGGUCCUAAGGUAGCGAAAUUCCUUGUCGGGUAAGUUCCGACCUGCACGAAUGGCGUAAUGAUGGCCAGGCUGUCUCCACCCGAGACUCAGUGAAAUUGAACUCGCUGUGAAGAUGCAGUGUACCCGCGGCAAGACGGAAAGACCCCGUGAACCUUUACUAUAGCUUGACACUGAACAUUGAGCCUUGAUGUGUAGGAUAGGUGGGAGGCUUUGAAGUGUGGACGCCAGUCUGCAUGGAGCCGACCUUGAAAUACCACCCUUUAAUGUUUGAUGUUCUAACGUGGACCCGUAAUCCGGGUUGCGGACAGUGUCUGGUGGGUAGUUUGACUGGGGCGGUCUCCUCCUAAAGAGUAACGGAGGAGCACGAAGGUUGGCUAAUCCUGGUCGGACAUCAGGAGGUUAGUGCAAUGGCAUAAGCCAGCUUGACUGCGAGCGUGACGGCGCGAGCAGGUGCGAAAGCAGGUCAUAGUGAUCCGGUGGUUCUGAAUGGAAGGGCCAUCGCUCAACGGAUAAAAGGUACUCCGGGGAUAACAGGCUGAUACCGCCCAAGAGUUCAUAUCGACGGCGGUGUUUGGCACCUCGAUGUCGGCUCAUCACAUCCUGGGGCUGAAGUAGGUCCCAAGGGUAUGGCUGUUCGCCAUUUAAAGUGGUACGCGAGCUGGGUUUAGAACGUCGUGAGACAGUUCGGUCCCUAUCUGCCGUGGGCGCUGGAGAACUGAGGGGGGCUGCUCCUAGUACGAGAGGACCGGAGUGGACGCAUCACUGGUGUUCGGGUUGUCAUGCCAAUGGCACUGCCCGGUAGCUAAAUGCGGAAGAGAUAAGUGCUGAAAGCAUCUAAGCACGAAACUUGCCCCGAGAUGAGUUCUCCCUGAGACUUAGAGUCUCCUGAAGGAACGUUGAAGACGACGACGUUGAUAGGCCGGGUGUGUAAGCGCAGCGAUGCGUUGAGCUAACCGGUACUAAUGAACCGUGAGGCUUAACCUU
This 1815-nucleotide ribosomal RNA is filed under the name Salmonella enterica. Its description in RNAcentral is "partial 23S ribosomal RNA". It matches the Rfam family "Bacterial large subunit ribosomal RNA", at positions 1154 to 2925 of the family's 2925-position model. The record is from RNAcentral. Lineage: Bacteria; Pseudomonadati; Pseudomonadota; Gammaproteobacteria; Enterobacterales; Enterobacteriaceae.